Long non-coding RNA from Oncorhynchus kisutch (coho salmon), 2292 nucleotides. Lineage: Eukaryota; Metazoa; Chordata; Actinopteri; Salmoniformes; Salmonidae. The record is from Ensembl.
GUAAUCAAAACAAGGACGAAACACAGUGGCGCAAAUAAAGCGGCUGUGAAGAGACCUCUGAAGUCCCAGCAAUAGAGAACUCGAAAAUGACAACGCUUCGAGAUUUGGGAAUAUCAGUACGUUUCAUCAUCGGGCACCAUUGGAAGUAAGAACCUGGUCUCAAUGGGUUCUUUAUUAAAUGUGUGUGAAUAAAGCCUCAUGAGACUGUCUGUGGUCUGAUCUGUCUAUGGUCUGAUCUGACGGAGGAUAACAGGAGAACACACUUCAGAGCUAUAGUGACCAUUCACUCUACUGUCAUUACUCUGCUCAGCCCAGCAUUCAGAACAGCAUUCAGAACAGCCAGAGACUCGGCAGGUGAAAGGCAUCGUGGGAACGUUUUUCUCUUUUCCAGAAAGGGUGUUGACAUCUGGCAAUUUACUUUAUGGAGACCUUGGCAAUAUUGCACAUGUGUACCCUGGUAAACAAAGUAAUACAAACCUUGAGAAGAGAUAUAAAAACCACCUUCACUGGAACAAUGUUACUGGAUUCUUCACUUUGUCAGACCUACAAAUAGACGAUUCUGGGGUUUAUACUGUGGAGAAUGGAGAUGCUGAAGAGAAGAUGAGACAUACAUUUCAGCUGACUGUGUACUAUGUUCUGUCAAAACCUCAGGUGACUGUUCAUGAGAACAUCUCCUGUAGUGUUGUGUGUUCUGUGGAGAACGGGAGAGAGGUGACCCUGUCCUGGUACAAAGGAGGGGAGAUACUCAACCAGACCAGCAGCCCUGACCACAUCACCCUCUCUCUACCUCUCAAGGUGGAUGAACAGAACAGAGACUCUUACAGAUGUGAGGCUGCCAACCCAGUCAGCAAGGGGACAGCUGUUGUUCCACAUUCCUGUAUAGAGAGUGAUCCCUCUAAGGUGACAGAUGGUGAUGUGAGGACUCUUAUUGCUGUAAUCUGCGUUUUGUUGGCUUCAGGACUUGUUGGACUUGCAAUAUAUCUUACAUUGAGAUGCAUACGCUCACGUGCAGGUAUUUAGCUUUUAAAGGGGUGAGGUCAUUCUCCUUGUCAAAGUCAAAACAUGUUGUGCACAACCUUUAUUAAUGACCAUUGAUAGUGUUUUUAUAAAUGUAGGAAAUGUUUGCCUGAACAACGGAUGCAGGUCAAAUGAAGUGGUGUAUUAAGGGAAUUUUUACCUAUGACUAAUUAUGUAUAUUUCAAUCAGGCCUGAUGAGUCAGAAUACUAUUAUGUUACUGUACAUGUAUGAAUUUUCUUGAUCCCAGUACUGAAUAUAAUGUGAUCAAGAGUUUAGAACAUUGACGGUCUGUUCCUUGGUACAAAUGAAGAACUAUAUCUCCAGACUGACUAGAAUGCUUAUCUACACUGGCUGACCUUGGCUCUAGGCAAGGAGGGAAGGCUUGAACUAUAGAGCCUUUCUACCAGGGUCAAGAAGAGACGGAACAUUUAGAAAAUGCUGACGUCAUUUUCAGUUUACAACCUGUGGUAAAAUGUGUAAGUACUCAGUACUCUCGAGAAUAAACUCUGCUGUUUUGAUUUUGAGACUGGGCUCUGUCUAUUAUUAUAGAAUAAGGGUCUUACAAGUCCUUAUGAAUGGACAGUGUUUAAUUUUAAUUGGAUAUUAAAACAGAGUAAUUUAAUUCCUUUAACAAUUAUCUUCCACACUUCCUCUGCUUGGUCAGACAGUUGCAUUAUCUCAGACCACUUCUCUAAAUGUUGAAAAAAGCAGAAGGCACACACAAGCACAGUCUUACAAUUAUUUCGUAGGUUCUCUGGUGCCAAAACCACUGCUAGUACAGGUACCCAUAGUAACAUGAUUCUUUAGUGUUUUCAGAACCUGUCUUGGGGAUGAGCAUUUGUGCAUAUCUGUUAGUAACUCCCACCCACACUGUGUAUUUAAUUGACUUUAUUUGCUUUUAUGGAUUCACCUGAAAGAAAGCAAGAUGAUGUUCAGUAUGCAGAGAUAACUCACAUUAAACCAGCAGAAAACCAGGUUAGUAAUAAUUCUACAGGCUGAUAAACAUAGGAGAUGUAAUACAGCUGCUUUAUCAGCCCUCAUGUCUACAACUGUUGGCUUUAUCUCUGUGUCAGUGGGUUCAUGUGGUAUUGAGUUGCACAGACCACCUGAGUUUGAUAACCGGCCUGAUGUCAUUGCAACCAGUUUUGCCCAAAUGAAAUGUUUGGGUUGCACAAUGAGACGCCACACUGCAUAUUGUACAUACAGCACCAGUCAAACGUUUGGACACACCUACCCAUUCAACUGGAAUCACAACUGCAGACCACAUGUAACCA